Molecule: non-coding RNA, 22 nt
Filed under: Arabidopsis thaliana (thale cress)
Lineage: Eukaryota; Viridiplantae; Streptophyta; Magnoliopsida; Brassicales; Brassicaceae
Source: RNAcentral
UGCUUUUAAGUUAUGAUAUAUA